AUUGAACGCUGGCGGCAUGCCUUAUACAUGCAAGUCGAACGGCAGCGCGGACUUCUUUCUGGCCGCGCGUUGCGAACGGGCGAGUAAUACACCCGAACGUACCCUGCCUAUGGGGCUAACUAGACGUAAGAUUAGCUAAUACAGUACACGACCUUAUGUUGAACGUCAGGGAUCGAUAGUGCACACCGAGUAUGCUCUCACUUUGUCUGAUUAGCUAGUUGGUUGGGUAAAGGCCCACCAAGGCGACGAUCAGUAGCUAGUCUGAGAGGACGAUCAGCCACACUGGGACUGAGACACGGCCCAGACUCCUACGGGAGGCAGCAGUGGGGAAUUUUGGACAAUGGGGGCAACCCUGAUCCAGCAAUGCCGCGUGUGUGAAGAAGGCCUUCGGGUUGUAAAGCACUUUUGUCCGGAAAGAAAACGCGCUGGUUAAUACCUGGCGUGGAUGACGGUACCGGAAGAAUAAGCACCGGCUAACUACGUG
Molecule: ribosomal RNA, 484 nt
Filed under: uncultured bacterium
Lineage: Bacteria
Description: partial 16S ribosomal RNA
Rfam family: Bacterial small subunit ribosomal RNA
Source: RNAcentral